RNAcentral lists this microRNA (23 nucleotides) under Haemonchus contortus (barber pole worm). Its description in RNAcentral is "hco-miR-5989". The record is from miRBase by way of RNAcentral. Lineage: Eukaryota; Metazoa; Nematoda; Chromadorea; Rhabditida; Trichostrongylidae.
GUAGUCACCUGGGCGAACAGACA